This 581-nucleotide ribosomal RNA is filed under the name uncultured bacterium. RNAcentral's name for it is "bacterial SSU rRNA". It matches the Rfam family "Bacterial small subunit ribosomal RNA", at positions 102 to 679 of the family's 1533-position model. The record is from RNAcentral.
ACGGGUGAGUAAUGUCUGGGGAUCUGCCCGAUAGAGGGGGAUAACCACUGGAAACGGUGGCUAAUACCGCAUAACGUCGCAAGACCAAAGAGGGGGACCUUCGGGCCUCUCACUAUCGGAUGAACCCAGAUGGGAUUAGCUAGUAGGCGGGGUAAUGGCCCACCUAGGCGACGAUCCCUAGCUGGUCUGAGAGGAUGACCAGCCACACUGGAACUGAGACACGGUCCAGACUCCUACGGGAGGCAGCAGUGGGGGAUAUUGCACAAUGGGCGCAAGCCUGAUGCAGCCAUGCCGCGUGUAUGAAGAAGGCCUUCGGGUUGUAAAGUACUUUCAGCGGGGAGGAAGGCGAUGCGGUUAAUAACCCUGUCGAUUGACGUUACCCGCAGAAGAAGCACCGGCUAACUCCGUGCCAGCAGCCGCGGUAAUACGGAGGGUGCAAGCGUUAAUCGGAAUUACUGGGCGUAAAGCGCACGCAGGCGGUCUGUUAAGUCAGAUGUGAAAUCCCCGGGCUUAACCUGGGAACUGCAUUUGAAACUGGCAGGCUUGAGUCUUGUAGAGGGGGGUAGAAUUCCAGGUGUAGC